CGGAGGAUGCAAGCGUUAUCCGGAAUUAUUGGGCGUAAAGCGUCCGCAGGUGGCAAUUCAAGUCUGCUGUUAAAGGUUCUGGCUCAACCAGAAACAGGCAGUGGAAACUGAAUAGCUAGAGUGCGGUAGGGGCAGAGGGAAUUCCCAGUGUAGCGGUGAAAUGCGUAGAGAUUGGGAAGAACACCGGUGGCGAAAGCGCUCUGCUAGGCCGUAACUGACACUCAUGGACGAAAGCUAGGGAGCGAAUGGGAUU
RNAcentral lists this ribosomal RNA (253 nucleotides) under uncultured bacterium. Its description in RNAcentral is "partial 16S ribosomal RNA". It matches the Rfam family "Bacterial small subunit ribosomal RNA", at positions 526 to 779 of the family's 1533-position model. The record is from RNAcentral.